CGGACCGGCGGACGGGUGCGUAACGCGUAUGCAACCUGCCUGACACAGGGGGAUAAUCCGAAGAAAUUUGGUCUAAUACCCCAUAAUACCGAUAUAGGCAUCUAUGUUGGUUGAAAGCUUUGGUGGUGUCAGAUGGGCAUGCGUUGUAUUAGCUAGUUGGUGAGGUAACGGCUCACCAAGGCGACGAUACAUAGGGGGACUGAGAGGUUAACCCCCCACACUGGUACUGAGACACGGACCAGACUCCUACGGGGAGGCAGCAUG
RNAcentral lists this ribosomal RNA (264 nucleotides) under uncultured bacterium. RNAcentral describes it as "partial 16S ribosomal RNA". It matches the Rfam family "Bacterial small subunit ribosomal RNA", at positions 91 to 353 of the family's 1533-position model. The record is from RNAcentral.